CUGAAACACAAAUUCAGUUGAGCAAUAAUCAAUGGCAGCAAAUUUUGGAUCCCUUCCAUUUUACUCUUUGACUCAAUUGAGUAUUUGAAGAGGGAAAGUAUUAGGGAAAUUGGAAGGAUGUCUCAGCAAAACAGCAAUAACAGUAGCAAUAAUAUACCCGUCAGCGAAGUUUAUUGGACUCUGGUUGCCAAAGCUGACAAGAAGUUCUCAAAAAUUCGAGAUUUGCCCUACUACCAACGUAACAGGUAUGAUACAUACUUCUACAAGGUUUUCAAG
This 276-nucleotide unclassified non-coding RNA is filed under the name Hevea brasiliensis (rubber tree). The record is from RNAcentral. Lineage: Eukaryota; Viridiplantae; Streptophyta; Magnoliopsida; Malpighiales; Euphorbiaceae.